GUGGUUCUCCCGCCAAUGGAACAAUAACUCACUAAUAGUUCAAUGAACCUGGUAAGUUUUAUUAUCUUUAACAUUAAAUUGCCUGUUUUCUUUUCAACUCGGGGGGAAGUUCUUUGUAGUCCAUGUAUUCCUUUCGUCUAUUAUUUAUCAUCUUUGUCUUUUUGAAUUUUCCAAAUUCUCACUAAUGAGAUCUUACAGUGUCCUUGUAAAGUUUCUCUCCCACCCUCCCCCGCCACAAACGGCGGGUAUACGUUCCGCGCGCCACCACCGGAAAGACGGAGCAUGUCUACCGGGCCUAAAGUAGGCAUUGGUGCUUUUCGCUUUAGUCUCUGGUCUGGUGGAGUGUCACAAUGUGCAGUAGUGAAUUUGUGUCCCAUGAACGUGCACCUUUUCCUUUUGCUUCUUCGCCAGUUUGUGAGAGCGUUGCCACCUUUUCUUUGCAGGAAAUAAAAGCAGUUUGUUGCUGAAUGAAGCAAGUCCUGGUGAUGUAACUGGCAAACUUGGUUUUGAAACCGUCCAACGGUUUAAACCCUGGAAACAUCGUCAUACCACAAGCUGAUUGUCCAUCAGUGGUGGAAUGUUUACACGUCAAUUUACGAUGGACCACAAGUCAGCUCAUUGGUGACCCCGCUGCAAUCAUCAAAACUCCGGGUGUAAAUCGGAGAGAGUCGAAAUAUCAAAUGUGUGUGUAGUGUCCAGCUGAUUACCUACUUCGAUGAAGAUCACACGUCGUGCAUUUCCAGAUGUGUUUGUGUGGGCGAGAGGGAAUCGAUAUCCUCAUGUUCUUGAUGAUCUGGUGUUACACUUUGAACUCGUUGACCGGUGCAGUUCCACAUAAACAAGAUGCAUUGAUUACUGCUGCUGCAUUUUAUGAAUCAUUUAAAGCCUUCACUUCCAUCAGUUUAAGGAUUCGGUCCGACAAAACCGAACUAGCACGCAAUGCCUGAGUCGCCAUCAUGUUCUUCAUCUUUUCCUCCAUUUCGAGGUUCAAUCCACUUUCAUCCUUCAUUGGUUCCACGUCCGUAUCUACACGUUUGCCAAAAUAUGAAAGUAAUCAUAUUUUAAGGAACAAUUUGCUGUACCUGAUGUAGGACCUUUCUUUUGUUCUGCCUCAUCCAUGUCUUGUAAAGUGGAAGCGGCUUGCUUGUUUUGGGUCAUGGUAAUCAUCAAGACACCAGCAAACAUCCACAUCAAGGAUCUUUUCUUGUAGUCUUCCAUAAAAUUUUCCCACGUGUAGUUGUCGAGUGAAACGCCGAGAAAUAGCAAAUCAGUCGUCAACGUAUCGAAAUAAUGACGAAGCAAGACGAGCAUGUGUUGCUCCCUCAACUCUGGCAUUGUACUCGUGUACAUGAAGUAAAGCACAUCGCUGAGUGGAUGGCCUAUCCUCGAUUGCUGAAAAUCGAGCAUUUUUAACGAAACAGGAAUGUUUACGGAUGCAGUUUCGUUCGUUGUCCUAUCUUCGGGGCGAUCCGUCUGCUCUGCGUAUUUGAACAGCAUGUUGUUGUUCCAAAAAUCUCCGUGAAGGAUGCAAGCCAGUGGACCACUGGUCUCUACAUUGUCGACUAACAUGAUCUCCGGUAGCCGUUGCUGAAGAUCCGUCAACCACUCGACUAACUGUUAAUGAUUGAACAACAAUGGAGCUGUAAAAUUCAAUGGCUAAGCACAGUCAAAUACAAAAAAUAUCUAAACAAA
Molecule: long non-coding RNA, 1692 nt
Organism: Daphnia carinata
Lineage: Eukaryota; Metazoa; Arthropoda; Branchiopoda; Diplostraca; Daphniidae
Exons: 5
Source: RefSeq, a predicted model, not a curated record